GACGAACGCUGGCGGCGUGCUUAACACAUGCAAGUCGAGCGGUAAGGCUCCUUCGGGAGUACACGAGCGGCGCACGGGUGAGUAACACGUGAGUAACCUGCCCCAUUCAUCGGAAUAACCAGUGGAAACGCUGGCUAAUGCCGAAUACGACCACCGAAGGCAUCUUCUGGUGGUGGAAAGCUCCGGCGGAGUGGGAUGGACUCGCGGCCUAUCAGCUUGUUGGUGAGGUAACGGCUCACCAAGGCGACGACGGGUAGCCGGCCUGAGAGGGUGACCGGCCACACUGGGACUGAGACACGGCCCAGACUCCUACGGGAGGCAGCAGUGGGGAAUAUUGGACAAUGGGCGAAAGACUGAUCCAGCAACGCCGCGUGAGGGAUGACGGCCUUCGGGUUGUAAACCUCUUUCAGCAGGGACGAAGCGAAAGUGACGGUACCUGCAGAAGAAGGACCGGCCAACUACGUG
This 465-nucleotide ribosomal RNA is filed under the name uncultured bacterium. RNAcentral describes it as "partial 16S ribosomal RNA". It matches the Rfam family "Bacterial small subunit ribosomal RNA", at positions 28 to 507 of the family's 1533-position model. The record is from RNAcentral.